Molecule: ribosomal RNA, 498 nt
Filed under: uncultured bacterium
Lineage: Bacteria
Description: bacterial SSU rRNA
Rfam family: Bacterial small subunit ribosomal RNA
Source: RNAcentral
AACGAACGCUGGCGGCAGGCCUAACACAUGCAAGUCGAACGCUGUAGCAAUACAGAGUGGCAGACGGGUGAGUAACGCGUGGGAACCUUCCCAGUGGUACGGAAUAGCCCAGGGAAACUUGGGGUAAUACCGUAUAAGCCCCUAGGGGGAAAGAUUUAUCGCCAUUGGAUGGGCCCGCGUCGGAUUAGCUAGUUGGUGAGGUAAUGGCUCACCAAGGCGACGAUCCGUAGCUGGUCUGAGAGGAUGAUCAGCCACACUGGGACUGAGACACGGCCCAGACUCCUACGGGAGGCAGCAGUGGGGAAUAUUGGACAAUGGGCGCAAGCCUGAUCCAGCCAUGCCGCGUGAGUGACGAAGGCCUUAGGGUUGUAAAGCUCUUUUGGCGGGACGAUAAUGACGGUACCCGCAGAAUAAGCUCCGGCUAACUUCGUGCCAGCAGCCGCGGUAAUACGAAGGGAGCUAGCGUUGUUCGGAAUCACUGGGCGUAAAGCGCACGUA